CUUUCUCAAGGUAUGAAACUAUUUAAUGUUGGUUUGACUUUAAAUGCUUAAACUUUAUUAAAAUGCACAAAUGACAAGUGCUAACAAACAUGCAUUUUAUUCUGUUGGUAUGUAUACUAAUAUCAUGCUCCCUCACCACUGGAAGUUAGCUUUCUGACAGGUCUAAAUCUAGAGACAUGGCGGAUCAUGUGACUGCUGUUGCUGAGCAAGUCGCAGCAAUGCUGCCUGAACUCAGAGGGAGCAUUGUGGAUCGCAAAGUCACCAUUGAGCUGACCAACCAUGCAGAAACAGCUCUGUCUCAUCCUCAGGUUCACAUGUCGACAGGACAAGUCUUGGAUCCUCCACCACCAACAAUACCUGCAAAGGAAGAUUCCGCUUUUUCCUGCAGCAGGCAUGAUUCACUCUUGCAAUCACUCUAUGGUGUCAUCACCUAUGAUGUGUGUGCAUGCAACCAAGAAGCAUAUCGUAUUGCCAUCAUGUUCUGUGUCCCUUACAAUAGGCUGUCAUGUUCAAAUGAAUUUGGCAUUGGUAUUUUUACCCCUGACACAGUCUGUGAU
Long non-coding RNA from Alosa sapidissima (American shad), 557 nucleotides. RefSeq lists it as uncharacterized. NCBI's taxonomy places the organism in Eukaryota, Metazoa, Chordata, Actinopteri, Clupeiformes, Clupeidae. The transcript is spliced from 2 exons. The record is from RefSeq and is a predicted model, not a curated record.